CUAAGAGUAAUCCCUAAACAGUAACAAUUUUAUUCUAGAAACCCUAGCUAAAAAAUACUCUCAACGUCGCUCUGCACUACGGUCGAUUUUCAGCCUUGAAAUCCCUUGCCAAACUCCGAUCGCAGCGAGGUAGACAAGGAUUUCGCGGCAGUUCUAGUCAGGUAACUUGCUCCUUUGCUUAAUCGUUUCUUUAUGUCUAAUAAGGAGCAACAGAAAGAUUCAAGAACAGGAAAAAAGAAAAUAACGAUAGAAAAAGAAAAAAUCACCAAUAUAAACUCAAAUCACCUUUAAAAGAGAAAACUUUCUUUUUUCUUUUUUUGUAUUGAUCGUGAGUGUGCGUAACCUUACAAGAAUGAAUCAAUCGGCCUUUUAUAUUGCCGAAUAUUACAAAAAUGGUGUUUUCCUUUUUUUUCUAUUAUUUCUUCCGUUUUUUAUAUCUGCUGGCCUAUUGUUGUCGUUGUUUUGCUGUGUUGUUUUCGUCUUCUUUGCUGGUACGGAGGCCAACUGGUGUACGAAGCUGUACAGUGACGUGGCGCGGAGCCUCGAUGCGUGCUGAAGGCAGGAGCGGCGACUGAGGCGUGUGAAGGCAUCGUGCGUGUGCGAAGGAGAGCAGAGAGGCGCUACUACUGCGGCGCUGGGAGCCAUGCUGCUAGGGUUUCUGAUUCAUUUUUGUGUUGGGCUUGUAACACGAUUGGGCUAGGGAUUGUAUUUGGGUUUAGGCUGAUGGGUUAAUUAGGCUUAGGUUAGGUUUGGGCCACUGUAAUAUGGACUAUUUUUUGAUUGUUAUUUUAUUUGGUUUAUUUUACGGGCCCGGGCAAAAAUGGGCUAUUACACCUUUUUCUUCUGUUUUUAUUAUCAUUUUAACAUUUAAUAUUAUAUUUAGUUAAAAUUUCAACAAGUAAAUCACCCAAAUUUAAGCACCAACUGUCCACUAUUAGUAAAAACGACC
This 949-nucleotide long non-coding RNA is filed under the name Gossypium raimondii (Peruvian cotton). Its description in RNAcentral is "long non-coding RNA (GRAI_LNC002581)". The record is from RNAcentral. Lineage: Eukaryota; Viridiplantae; Streptophyta; Magnoliopsida; Malvales; Malvaceae.